This 301-nucleotide ribosomal RNA is filed under the name uncultured bacterium. RNAcentral describes it as "partial 16S ribosomal RNA". It matches the Rfam family "Bacterial small subunit ribosomal RNA", at positions 509 to 808 of the family's 1533-position model. The record is from RNAcentral.
CAGUAGCCGCGGUAAUGCGUAGGUCCCGAGCGUUAUCCGGAUUUAUUGGGCGUAAAGCGCGUCUAGGUGGUUAUAUAAGUCUGAUGUGAAAAUGCAGGGCUCAACUCUGUAUUGCGUUGGAAACUGUAUAACUAGAGUACUGGAGAGGUAAGCGGAACUACAAGUGUAGAGGUGAAAUUCGUAGAUAUUUGUAGGAAUGCCGAUGGGGAAGCCAGCUUACUGGACAGAUACUGACGCUGAAGCGCGAAAGCGUGGGUAGCAAACAGGAUUAGAUACCCCAGUAGUCCCUGUCUCUUAUACA